UACAGAGGGUGCGAGCGUUGUCCGGAAUCACUGGGCGUAAAGGGCGCGUAGGCGGCCCCAUAACGCGUGCCGUGAAAGCCCGGGGCUCAACCCCGGGUCGGCGGUGCGAACGGGGGGGCUGGAGCCGAUCAGAGGCGGGCGGAAUUCUGGGGGGAGCGGUGGGAUGCGGAGAGAUCCGGAAGAACACCGGGGGCGAAGGCGGCGCGCUGGGAUCGAGCUGACGCUGAGGCGCGACAGCGUGGGGAGCAAACAGG
RNAcentral lists this ribosomal RNA (254 nucleotides) under uncultured bacterium. RNAcentral's name for it is "partial 16S ribosomal RNA". It matches the Rfam family "Bacterial small subunit ribosomal RNA", at positions 524 to 776 of the family's 1533-position model. The record is from RNAcentral.